Molecule: ribosomal RNA, 528 nt
Filed under: Dujonia oleophila
Lineage: Eukaryota; Fungi; Ascomycota; Pichiomycetes; Serinales; Debaryomycetaceae
Description: [Candida] oleophila partial large subunit ribosomal RNA
Rfam family: Eukaryotic large subunit ribosomal RNA
Source: RNAcentral
AGCACUUUCAGUGUUCGAGUUGUAAUUUGAAGAAGGUAACUUUGGAAUUGGCUCUUGUCUAUGUUCCUUGGAACAGGACGUCACAGAGGGUGAGAAUCCCGUGCGAUGAGAUGUCCAAUUCUAUGUAAAGUGCUUUCGAAGAGUCGAGUUGUUUGGGAAUGCAGCUCUAAGUGGGUGGUAAAUUCCAUCUAAAGCUAAAUAUUGGCGAGAGACCGAUAGCGAACAAGUACAGUGAUGGAAAGAUGAAAAGAACUUUGAAAAGAGAGUGAAAAAGUACGUGAAAUUGUUGAAAGGGAAGGGCUUGAGAUCAGACUUGGUAUUUUGUGUUCCUUAUCCUUCUUGGAUUAGGUUCCUCACAGCUUACCGGGCCAGCAUCGGUUUGGAUGGCAGGAUAAUGACAUUGGAAUGUAGCUUUGCUUCGGUGAAGUGUUAUAGACUUUGUUGAUACUGCCUAUCUAGACCGAGGACUGCGUCUUUGACUAGGAUGCUGGCGUAAUGAUCUUAAGCCGCCCGUCUUGAAACACGGAC